GGGGCAAUAGCUCAGUGGUAGAGCUUCCGCUUCGUAUGCGGGAAGACCUGGGUUCGAUUCGCGGUUGCUUCC
This 72-nucleotide transfer RNA is filed under the name Toxocara canis (dog roundworm). It matches the Rfam family "tRNA". From Rfam's summary of the family: Transfer RNA (tRNA) molecules are approximately 80 nucleotides in length. Their secondary structure includes four short double-helical elements and three loops (D, anti-codon, and T loops). Lineage: Eukaryota; Metazoa; Nematoda; Chromadorea; Rhabditida; Toxocaridae. The record is from Rfam by way of RNAcentral.